UAAUAGCUCACUGGUCGAGUCGGCCUGCGCGGAAGAUGUAACGGGGCUAAACCAUGCACCGAAGCUGCGGCAGCGACGCUUAUGCGUUGUUGGGUAGGGGAGCGUUCUGUAAGCCUGUGAAGGUGUGCUGUGAGGCAUGCUGGAGGUAUCAGAAGUGCGAAUGCUGACAUAAGUAACGAUAAAGCGGGUGAAAAGCCCGCUCGCCGGAAGACCAAGGGUUCCUGUCCAACGUUAAUCGGGGCAGGGUGAGUCGAC
This 255-nucleotide ribosomal RNA is filed under the name Escherichia coli. RNAcentral's name for it is "partial 23S ribosomal RNA". It matches the Rfam family "Bacterial large subunit ribosomal RNA", at positions 1135 to 1388 of the family's 2925-position model. The record is from RNAcentral. Lineage: Bacteria; Pseudomonadati; Pseudomonadota; Gammaproteobacteria; Enterobacterales; Enterobacteriaceae.